UACAGAGGGUGCAAGCGUUGUUCGGAAUUAUUGGGCGUAAAGGGCGCGUAGGCGGGCUCGCCAGUCAGGGGUGAAAGCCCACGGCUCAACCGUGGAAGUGCCUUUGAUACUGCGGGCCUCGAGGGAGGUAGGGGCGUGCGGAACUUCCGGUGGAGCGGUGAAAUGCGUAGAUAUCGGAAGGAACACCGGUGGCGAAAGCGGCGCGCUGGACCUCUUCUGACGCUGAGGCGCGAAAGCCAGGGGAGCGAACGGG
Molecule: ribosomal RNA, 253 nt
Filed under: uncultured bacterium
Lineage: Bacteria
Description: partial 16S ribosomal RNA
Rfam family: Bacterial small subunit ribosomal RNA
Source: RNAcentral